This 73-nucleotide transfer RNA is filed under the name Phycisphaerae bacterium SM23_33. Its description in RNAcentral is "tRNA-Gly". It matches the Rfam family "tRNA". Rfam says of the family: Transfer RNA (tRNA) molecules are approximately 80 nucleotides in length. Their secondary structure includes four short double-helical elements and three loops (D, anti-codon, and T loops). The record is from RNAcentral. Lineage: Bacteria; Pseudomonadati; Planctomycetota; Phycisphaerae. RNAcentral also lists the same sequence under 1 other name.
GCGGGCGUAGCUCAGUUGGUAGAGCACCACGUUGCCAACGUGGUUGUCGGCGGUUCGAGUCCGCUCGCCCGCU